Empidonax traillii (willow flycatcher) is the source of this 2318-nucleotide long non-coding RNA. RefSeq lists it as uncharacterized. NCBI's taxonomy places the organism in Eukaryota, Metazoa, Chordata, Aves, Passeriformes, Tyrannidae. The transcript has 2 exons. The record is from RefSeq and is a predicted model, not a curated record.
UGUUUUCCCCUCCACGCGCGCGCGCGCGCACAGGCACACACACCACGCAUGCAGGCACAUACCCACACACCCCCCACUCUGGCUUUCUCUCUUCUUCUCCCUCAUGCACACGCACUCACUUUCAUACACACACACACACACACACAAACACACACACACACACACAUGCACACGACGUUCCCUGCCGUAGUGUGUGGUUGUCGGUGCAGCGAGUUACGUGUGAAAAGUUGUCUGCGGCAUGUGUGACACGCGAGGAGAUUCCUGCCAACGUCAGGGCCCUUUUUUGCCAUGCAGCAACAAGUGGCAGAAUCAAUGGUGUACAGUUAUUCAGCAAUGUAAUUCAUUUCACUGGCUUUGGCUCCCAGCCAGAUCCGCCAUCUGUCUCUUGCUCUCCCUCUCUCUCUCUCGCCUGAAUUUGUCCUACAUUUCGUAAUGUUACGUGCUUACCAUCCUUAUUCUAUGCCAGAGGUACAACACAAGCCUCACCCCCGUUCCAGCGUGGAGUUCUGUGAGUUCGGUGGCACUUUGGAUAUUCCACUUCAGUGCCAUAGGAAGAAAGGGGUAAGCAAAAAACAGAGGGAUAGCUGCAAGGAGAACGGUGCUCUUCUAUCUGAAAGCCAGUGCCUCCGCUUUUUAUUUAAAGCAUUGAUAUGGAUCUGUCUCACAUGGGAACUUUCUCUGCUUCGUUAGAGUAUCUUCGUUUUCUUUAUUGGAUGCUGGCACUGUACGCCACUGCACAGCUCUGUGGAAUGCCUGCUGUUGGAUACUUGCAGAUCCCUGCCACCAAGCAACCUCCUGCAUUGGAAAUCGGGUGACUACUCCAGGAUCUUAUGCGUGCUUGCUGUUUGAAGCUGCAGAAAAGUGAAUAAUCAAUUAAGUAUUGAUUUCUUGUAAGAUUUGGUAAAUUUCAAAGGCAAGACAAAGAGGAUGGCUUAAGGAAAGCACUGCAGGGACUUGGCGUAAAUUAGACAACUAACAGCAGUGCAGAAUAAAAUAACACCUCAACUGAAUAUUUCCUUGGAAGAAUUAGCACUAGCUAUUGGAAGACGAUGGUGGAUUUAAUCAAGACGGCAAGCACGCUUGAGUUUUAACCGUGAACCUGAAAGAGGAGCUAAUUAUAACCACCUUUUUAUAUGGAGCUAAUUUGACUGAAUGGAUGCAAAUGUGCUUUAUUUAUGGAUGAAGAAGCAAGCCUUACAGCAUUGACUUUGGGAUCAUCGCAUAUGCUAAGCUUUACAGCUUCUCUAAAAGUCAAGCCUACAGUACAUUUUUAUUUACUGAGAAGGUAUUUAUAUGUAAGCAUAAGCUAGCCGUACAAAAGAUUCAUCAGAACAAUGUACUGUGGCACUGAGGAUCUAAUUAUAAUUUUGCAGCAUUUCAUGUUUUCUCUAAUUUGGUGCUUUUCAACCCUUGCUUGUGAUGGGCUAUAAAUGGGACAAUAAAUGUAUGAUUUAAACUAUUGUGAUUUUCAUUGUAUAGGUUAUUAAUCGGAGUGUAGUUUUCUUAACGUGUUUCUGAAUUAUUCAGCAGUAAUUUAUAAUGAAAGAAGCAGAAAUGGUGGGGUGGUUUUAAAUUCAUUUAUAAUCUUCUUACAGAUCUAAAUGUACAGGUUCUACCAGCCGAUGAGCUCUGUAAUUAUGAAAGAAUGUUAAAAUUUUCAGAUAAAUGGGGCACUGACUUUACAAUGGGCACAAUAUUGUAUAAUCAUUAAAAGGAGGAUUGUUAUGUUUUGACUCUGUGGAGAAUGGUCUUGGUUAGUUAACUCCUUCUAUGCUGAUAAUGACUCAAAGGGGACAGAAAUUAUUUUUAAAAGAAGCAAAUAUGCUAACAUGCAAACCAGUAGAAAAUAGACUGACACUCAGAAGUGGCUUUUGCACUGGCUUUUUAUAAAUAAUAAGAGUAAAAUCUUUCUUUCUAAGGUGAAACUUCGACGCCUUAUGGUUUCCACAGUGGUAUGCCUUUUGAGACAUUGCAUCUGUAAUCUCUGUGCACGUUGCAGUAAUUUACAAUUAACAAUUGAAGUUUUUGUGCAAGAUUUUCUAGUUUUGCUGAAGACUUUGCUGGGAGAGUGUAAUCCACUGAAAUGUGCUAUAUGCCCUACUUUGGCAAUCCAAUAAAAAGUUCAUGUUUUCCUUAAUAAAAUAAAUAUGCUUUCAGUACCAAGAGCUUUCACAUGGCAAAGCUUUUAAUUUAAUUGCCUGGAUUGAGUUAGCUAUUUUCAGUUUCAAGCAGUCUUUCGAUUACUGAAGACAAAAUUGUAAUAACUAUAAAUAUUGUUAGAUAAUGAAUAAACUGGAUAUGCACAAAAAUCCCUCAGA